This 488-nucleotide ribosomal RNA is filed under the name Scolecobasidium cordanae. Its description in RNAcentral is "eukaryotic LSU rRNA". It matches the Rfam family "Eukaryotic large subunit ribosomal RNA", at positions 87 to 580 of the family's 3401-position model. Lineage: Eukaryota; Fungi; Ascomycota; Dothideomycetes; Venturiales; Sympoventuriaceae. The record is from RNAcentral.
CGGCGAGUGAAGCGGCAACAGCUCAAAUUUGAAAUCUGGGGCCUUCGGCUCCCGAGUUGUAAUUUGUAGAGGAUGCCUCGGGGGGUGCUUCGGCCCAAGUUCCUUGGAACAGGAUACCACAGAGGGUGAGAGUCCCGUAUCCGGCCGGCAGUGCCCUCCGCGCGAGGCUCCUUCGACGAGUCGAGUUGUUUGGGAAUGCAGCUCUAAGCGGGUGGUAAAUUCCAUCUAAAGCUAAAUACUGGCCAGAGACCGAUAGCGAACAAGUAGAGUGAUCGAAAGAUGAAAAGCACUUUGAAAAGAGAGUCAAACAGUACGUGAAAUUGUUGAAAGGGAAGCGUAUGGGGGCAGACUUGGCCGCGGGGUUCAGGGUGUCUUUUGGCGCCUGUACUUCCCCGUGGGCAGGCCAGCAUCGGUUUUGGGGGUUGGAUAAAGGCGUCGGGAAUGUGGCUCCCCUCGGGGAGUGUUAUAGCCCGUCGCGCAAUGCAGCC